AGGACGAACGCUGGCGGCGUGCUUAACACAUGCAAGUCGAGCGACGCACUUCUUCGGGGGUGACGGAGCGGCGAACGGGUGAGUAACACGUGGGCAACCUGCCCUCAGCUCUGGGACAACUCCGGGAAACCGGGGCUAAUACCGGAUACGACCUCCUUCCGCAUGGGUGGGGGUGGAAAGUUUUUCGGCUGAGGGUGGGCCCGCGGCCUAUCAGCUUGUUGGUGGGGUGAUGGCCUACCAAGGCGACGACGGGUAG
RNAcentral lists this ribosomal RNA (256 nucleotides) under uncultured bacterium. RNAcentral's name for it is "partial small subunit ribosomal RNA". It matches the Rfam family "Bacterial small subunit ribosomal RNA", at positions 26 to 286 of the family's 1533-position model. The record is from RNAcentral.